AAUCACCACUCACGCGCCGCACGUACAAUAGGCAACAAGCACACCGAAAGACAUGAACACAAGAGAGUUGCACCAAUCGAGUGUCCAAAUUCUGUCAGCGCACCGCACUACGCCGCUAAGCGCGGAAAAACCGAGAAGGGACAUGGGGCACCCCGCGCACCACAGCAUAAGCAACGAGAGCACCGAAACGAGCGGAACACGUGAGACUAAUGUCGAUCGUGAGCAUUCCACUACCAUCGGCACGCCGCACCCAUGCAGCUUAGCACGAGAAACCCGUGAGGGGCCGACCGAGGGCACCGCGCACCGCGGCAUAAGCAUCUAGCGCACCGAAACGAGCGGAACACGUGAGACUAACGUCGAUCGAGAGCAUUCCACUUCCAUCGGCACGCCGCACCCAUGCAGCUUAGCGCGGUAAACCCGAGAGGGACCGAGGGCACCGCGCACCGCGGCAUAAGCAACUAGCGCACCGAAACGAGCGGAACACGUGAGACUAACGUCGAUCGAGAGCAUUCCACUACCAUCGGCACGCCGCACCCAUGCAGCUUAGCGCGGUAAACACGAGAGGGACCGAGGGCACCGCGCACCGCGGCAUAAGCAACUAGCGCACCGAAACGAGCGGAACACGUGAGACUAACGUCGAUCGAGAGCAUUCCACUACCAUCGGCACGCCGCACCCAUGCAGCUUAGCGCGGUAAACCCGAGAGGGACCGAGGGCACCGCGCACCGCGGCAUAAGCAUCUAGCGCACCGAAACGAGCGGAACACGUGAGACUAAUGUCGAUCGAGAGCAUUCCACUACCAUCGGCACGCCGCACCCAUGCAGCUUAGCGCGAUAAACCCGAGAGGGACCGAGGGCACCGCGCACCGCGGCAUAAGCAACUAGCGCACCGAACCGAGCG
RNAcentral lists this long non-coding RNA (898 nucleotides) under Carica papaya (papaya). RNAcentral describes it as "long non-coding RNA (CPAP_LNC013377)". The record is from RNAcentral. Lineage: Eukaryota; Viridiplantae; Streptophyta; Magnoliopsida; Brassicales; Caricaceae.